GACGAACGCUGGCGGCGUGCUUAACACAUGCAAGUCGAACGGUGACGAGGAGCUUGCUCCUCUGAUCAGUGGCGAACGGGUGAGUAACACGUGAGCAACCUGCCCCAGACUCUGGGAUAACAGUUGGAAACAGCUGCUAAUACCGGAUACGAGACGGAGAGGCAUCUCUACCGUCUGGAAAGUUUUUCGGUCUGGGAUGGACUCGCGGCCUAUCAGCUAGUUGGUGAGGUAAUGGCUCACCAAGGCGACGACGGGUAGCCGGCCUGAGAGGGCGACCGGCCACACUGGGACUGAGACACGGCCCAGACUCCUACGGGAGGCAGCAGUGGGGAAUAUUGCACAAUGGGCGAAAGCCUGAUGCAGCGACGCCGCGUGAGGGAUGACGGCCUCGGUGUAACUCUUCUAGCAGGAGAAGCGAAAGUGACGGUACCUGCAGAAGAAGACACCGGCUAACUACGUGCCAGCAGCCGCGGUAAU
RNAcentral lists this ribosomal RNA (477 nucleotides) under uncultured bacterium. RNAcentral's name for it is "bacterial SSU rRNA". It matches the Rfam family "Bacterial small subunit ribosomal RNA", at positions 28 to 524 of the family's 1533-position model. The record is from RNAcentral.